This 424-nucleotide ribosomal RNA is filed under the name uncultured prokaryote. RNAcentral's name for it is "bacterial SSU rRNA". It matches the Rfam family "Bacterial small subunit ribosomal RNA", at positions 355 to 796 of the family's 1533-position model. The record is from RNAcentral.
UGGGGAAUAUUGCACAAUGGGCGAAAGCCUGAUGCAGCAACGCCGCGUGAGUGAAGAAGGCUUUCGGGUCGUAAAACUCUGUCCUAAGGGAAGAAUAAUGACGGUACCUUAGGAGGAAGCCCCGGCUAACUACGUGCCAGCAGCCGCGGUAAUACGUAGGGGGCGAGCGUUAUCCGGAAUCACUGGGCGUAAAGGGUGCGUAGGCGGCCAAAUAAGCCAGAGGUGAAAGGCUACGGCUCAACCGUAGUAAGCCUUUGGAACUGUAUGGCUUGAGUGCAGGAGAGGAGAGUGGAAUUCCUAGUGUAGCGGUGAAAUGCGUAGAUAUUAGGAGGAACACCAGUGGCGAAGGCGACUCUCUGGACUGCAACUGACGCUGAGGCACGAAAGCGUGGGGAGCGAACAGGAUUAGAUACCCCCGUAGUCC